AAGUGUUACAACUCUUUUAGAAUUUGUCUAGCAGGUUUUCUGACUUCGGUCGGAUACUCCUCC
This 63-nucleotide small nuclear RNA is filed under the name Rattus norvegicus (Norway rat). RNAcentral's name for it is "U7 small nuclear RNA (ENSRNOG00000053733.3)". It matches the Rfam family "U7 small nuclear RNA". Rfam says of the family: Animal histone pre-mRNAs are spliced by a different mechanism than nuclear pre-mRNAs and self-splicing introns. This processing involves the U7 snRNP, which contains only one RNA species: U7. The 5' end of U7 RNA is thought to base-pair to a conserved spacer element downstream of the cleavage site in histone pre-mRNA. The record is from Rfam by way of RNAcentral. Lineage: Eukaryota; Metazoa; Chordata; Mammalia; Rodentia; Muridae.